CCUACGGGUGGCAGCAGUGAGGAAUAUUGGUCAAUGGAGGAAACCCUGAACCAGCAACGCCGCGUGGAGGAUGAAGGUCUUCGGAUUGUAAACUCCUUUUGUUAGGGAAGAUAAUGACGGUAUGUAACGAAUAAGCACCGGCUAACUCCGAGCCAGCAGCCGCGGUAAUACGGCGGGUGCAAGCGUUAAUCGGAAUCACUGGGCGUAAAGGGCGCGUAGGCGGGUUAGCAAGACAGCUGGGAAAUCCUAGGGCUCAACCAUAGAACUGCAGUGGAAACUGGUGUUCUUGAGUGCGGGAGAGGUAGGCGGAAUGCGUGGUGUAGGGGUAAAAUGCGUAGAUAUCAAGAAGAACACCAAUUGCGAAGGC
This 367-nucleotide ribosomal RNA is filed under the name uncultured bacterium. Its description in RNAcentral is "partial 16S ribosomal RNA". It matches the Rfam family "Bacterial small subunit ribosomal RNA", at positions 338 to 722 of the family's 1533-position model. The record is from RNAcentral.